UACGAGUAGUCCAUGCUCCGGCUAUCGAAAAAUAAACAAAAAUAUUCCUUUUGUGUGUCGUAAAUUGUAUUGGUAAAUUAGUUAGCAUUCUCUGGGCAUAAAGAUAAAAGUAUUGAUAUAAAGGCUAUAUUUUCGUUCAAACAUCUUUGAAAUUUACCGGCAUUUGUUCCGUUAUGUUGCCAAACAAUAAACAAUUUUCUUGCUGGUAUCUUCAAAAGCUUUAUUAAUUUCAUAUGAUAUGUCGCCUUAAGAGCUGUUUUCAAAUAAUUGAUAAUUUUACCCUUCUCUGAAUUCCAUACGGCAAACAACUCUGCAUUUUCGAAUUUGAGGUUAUGCUCUAUUAAUGCAAGUUCCAAGAAUUUUGGUGAAAAGUGAAAGGGACAGUGAUAAAUGAUAAAUAAUGAUAAACUGUGCCCCGUAAAACCUAUAAAAAUGCCGAGCCAGGGUCCAGGCUCAAGAGGUUCCUAUUCGAGAGAUCGAUCACUGAGUGGUAUCCACAUUUGUCCACUGUUCGCGUUGUGGAGCUGUAGCAGUAAUCCACCCAGCCAGCAAAAUUGGAUCCAUGCUGCCUCCCAGGGGCGCAUCUCUAGCUAUCGAAGAUUGCGAAAAAGUAUUUUUUACUCGUUUUCUUUAUGUCUUUCAUUAAAUAUAUAUAUA
Long non-coding RNA from Drosophila miranda, 657 nucleotides. RefSeq lists it as uncharacterized. The record is from RefSeq and is a predicted model, not a curated record. Lineage: Eukaryota; Metazoa; Arthropoda; Insecta; Diptera; Drosophilidae. The transcript is spliced from 2 exons.